CCCUUAGAUGUCCUGGGCCGCACGCGCGUUACACUGAUGCAUUCAACGAGCUUAUAACCUUGGCCGAGAGGCCUGGGCAAUCUUGUUAACGUGCAUCGUGAUGGGAUAGAUUAUUGAAAUUAUUAAUCUUGAACGAGGAAUUCCUAGUAAACGCAGAUCAUCAAUCUGCAUUGAUUACGUCCCUGCCCUUUGUACACACCGCCCGUCGCACCUACCGAUUGGAUGGUCCGGUGAAGCCUCGGGAUUGUGGUUCUUGCCGCUUUAUUGUGGCGUGACCGCGAGAACUUGUCUAAACCUUAUCAUCUAGAGGAAGGUGAAGUCGUAACA
RNAcentral lists this ribosomal RNA (327 nucleotides) under uncultured eukaryote. RNAcentral's name for it is "partial 18S ribosomal RNA". It matches the Rfam family "Eukaryotic small subunit ribosomal RNA", at positions 1470 to 1796 of the family's 1831-position model. The record is from RNAcentral.